Molecule: ribosomal RNA, 481 nt
Filed under: uncultured bacterium
Lineage: Bacteria
Description: bacterial SSU rRNA
Rfam family: Bacterial small subunit ribosomal RNA
Source: RNAcentral
AUUGAACGCUGGCGGCGUGCCUAACACAUGCAAGUCGAGCGGUAACAGGUGUAGCAAUACAUGCUGACGAGCGGCGGACGGGUGAGUAACGCUUGGGAAUCUGCCUAUUAGUGGGGACAACCCGGGGAAACUCGGGCUAAUACCGCAUACGCUCUACGGAGGAAAGCCGGGGACCGCAAGGCCUGGCGCUAAUAGAUGAGCCCAAGUCGGAUUAGCUAGUUGGUAGGUAAUGGCCUACCAAGGCGACGAUCCGUAACUGGUCUGAGAGGACGACCAGUCACACCGGAACUGAGACACGGUCCGGACUCCUACGGGAGGCAGCAGUGGGGAAUAUUGGACAAUGGGCGAAAGCCUGAUCCAGCGACGCCGCGUGGGUGAAGAAGGCCUGCGGGUUGUAAAGCCCUUUCAGUGGGGAAGAAAGCCUCGACCUAACACGUCGGGGUCUUGACGUAACCAUAGAAGAAGCACCGGCUAACUCUGU